GGAUUGGUUACAAGCAUUGUCUCUGGCAUGAGAUCUAAGGUACAACUGACCUUGGAGACUGUCCGGACAGACACAAUCAACUCAGGAUUGAAUAAGGACUGGGAAUGGCUGAGCAUUUACAAACAUUUAAUCUAUCUCCCCUUAUGGCUGUAUUUACCCGUGAGUCUUCCUGUAUGUGUGUGUGCUGGCAAGUGAGUAAUGAAGUCUUGCAGUGACAUGUGAUCAUGUCACCUGAACUGGAAUCCAUCUUUAACCUGGCGCUUUUCCAGUGAGGGGGUGUGGAAACCCUGAGGGACAAAGGAUUCCCGCCUUAUGCAAAAGAUAUAUAAAGGGGUGGAAGAGAACAAGGAGAGGGAGGAGCCAUCAUGAAGAAUCCCCUAGCCAUCACCUGAGCUGGAACAAGAGCUGUACCAGGGGAAAGAAUUGUGCCCAGGCCUGGAAGGUGUCCAGUCUGAGAAAAACUUACUGAAGCAUCUCUGAGGGUGAGAUUAUCUGUAUUUAGUUUGAUUAGACAUAGAUUUGCGCAUUUUAUUUUCUUUUGCUUGGUGACUUACUUUGUUCUGUCUGCAUCCGAAGAAGUGGGCUGUAGUCCACGAAAGCUUAUGCUCUAAUAAAUUUGUUAGUCUCUAAGGUUCCACAAGUACUCCUGUUCUUUUUGCGGAUACAGACUAACACGGCUGCUACUCUGAAACCUUUGUUCUGUCUGUUACUACU
Long non-coding RNA from Malaclemys terrapin pileata, 714 nucleotides. RefSeq lists it as uncharacterized. The record is from RefSeq and is a predicted model, not a curated record. The transcript is spliced from 3 exons. NCBI's taxonomy places the organism in Eukaryota, Metazoa, Chordata, Testudines, Emydidae.